AGCUUAAUGCAUUAUACAUUAAGUUAGCUCUGCUCAAUGAUUAUUUAAAUAGCCGCAGUACUUUAACUGUGCAAAGGUAGCAUAAUAAUUUGGCUUUUAAUUGAAGUCUGGAAUGAAUGAGUAUAUGGAUAUUAACUGUCUUAUUAAAAUUUUUAAUAACUUUUUUAUUAAGUGAAAAUACUUAAAUUUGAUAUAAUAGACGAGAAGACCCUAGAAACUUUUAUAAAAACGUUUCUUUUUUAUUUUUGUUGGGGCAACAAAAUUUCAUUUUAUAAUUGAUUUUUAUUAUUAUUUAUAUAUGUAUAAUAUAUUAAGAAGAAUUAUGUUACUCUAGGGAUAACAGCAUAAUUUUAAUAAGAAGUUUGUGACCUCGAUGUUGGAUUAAGAAUAAUUUAGACUAGAAGUUUAAAUUUUAGGUUCUGUUCGAACUAAUUUUCUUACAUG
RNAcentral lists this ribosomal RNA (444 nucleotides) under Caracolus marginella. RNAcentral's name for it is "partial 16S ribosomal RNA". The record is from RNAcentral. Lineage: Eukaryota; Metazoa; Mollusca; Gastropoda; Stylommatophora; Solaropsidae.